RNAcentral lists this ribosomal RNA (997 nucleotides) under Klebsiella pneumoniae. Its description in RNAcentral is "partial 23S ribosomal RNA". It matches the Rfam family "Bacterial large subunit ribosomal RNA", at positions 1934 to 2925 of the family's 2925-position model. Lineage: Bacteria; Pseudomonadati; Pseudomonadota; Gammaproteobacteria; Enterobacterales; Enterobacteriaceae. The record is from RNAcentral. RNAcentral also lists the same sequence under 1 other name.
CCGUAACUAUAACGGUCCUAAGGUAGCGAAAUUCCUUGUCGGGUAAGUUCCGACCUGCACGAAUGGCGUAAUGAUGGCCAGGCUGUCUCCACCCGAGACUCAGUGAAAUUGAACUCGCUGUGAAGAUGCAGUGUACCCGCGGCAAGACGGAAAGACCCCGUGAACCUUUACUAUAGCUUGACACUGAACAUUGAGCCUUGAUGUGUAGGAUAGGUGGGAGGCUUUGAAGCGUGGACGCCAGUCUGCGUGGAGCCAACCUUGAAAUACCACCCUUUAAUGUUUGAUGUUCUAACGUUGGCCCCUGACCGGGGUUGCGGACAGUGUCUGGUGGGUAGUUUGACUGGGGCGGUCUCCUCCCAAAGCGUAACGGAGGAGCACGAAGGUUAGCUAAUCCUGGUCGGACAUCAGGAGGUUAGUGCAAUGGCAUAAGCUAGCUUGACUGCGAGCGUGACGGCGCGAGCAGGUGCGAAAGCAGGUCAUAGUGAUCCGGUGGUUCUGAAUGGAAGGGCCAUCGCUCAACGGAUAAAAGGUACUCCGGGGAUAACAGGCUGAUACCGCCCAAGAGUUCAUAUCGACGGCGGUGUUUGGCACCUCGAUGUCGGCUCAUCACAUCCUGGGGCUGAAGUAGGUCCCAAGGGUAUGGCUGUUCGCCAUUUAAAGUGGUACGCGAGCUGGGUUUAGAACGUCGUGAGACAGUUCGGUCCCUAUCUGCCGUGGGCGCUGGAGAAUUGAGGGGGGCUGCUCCUAGUACGAGAGGACCGGAGUGGACGCAUCACUGGUGUUCGGGUUGUCAUGCCAAUGGCACUGCCCGGUAGCUAAAUGCGGAAGAGAUAAGUGCUGAAAGCAUCUAAGCACGAAACUUGCCCCGAGAUGAGUUCUCCCUGAGACUUUAAGUCUCCUGAAGGAACGUUGAAGACGACGACGUUGAUAGGCCGGGUGUGUAAGCGCAGCGAUGCGUUGAGCUAACCGGUACUAAUGAACCGUGAGGCUUAACCUU